This 404-nucleotide ribosomal RNA is filed under the name Verrucomicrobiota bacterium. RNAcentral's name for it is "Verrucomicrobia bacterium partial 16S ribosomal RNA". It matches the Rfam family "Bacterial small subunit ribosomal RNA", at positions 355 to 776 of the family's 1533-position model. Lineage: Bacteria; Pseudomonadati; Verrucomicrobiota. The record is from RNAcentral.
UGGGGAAUAUUGGACAAUGGGCGCAAGCCUGAUCCAGCCAUGCCGCGUGAGUGAUGAAGGCCCUAGGGUUGUAAAGCUCUUUCACCGGUGAAGAUAAUGACGGUAACCGGAGAAGAAGCCCCGGCUAACUUCGUGCCAGCAGCCGUGGUAAUACGAAGGGGGCUAGCGUUGUUCGGAUUUACUGGGCGUAAAGCGCACGUAGGCGGACUAUUAAGUCAGGGGUGAAAUCCCGGGGCUCAACCCCGGAACUGCCUUUGAUACUGGUAGUCUUGAGUUCGAGAGAGGUGAGUGGAAUUCCGAGUGUAGAGGUGAAAUUCGUAGAUAUUCGGAGGAACACCAGUGGCGAAGGCGGCUCACUGGCUCGAUACUGACGCUGAGGUGCGAAAGCGUGGGGAGCAAACAGG